Long non-coding RNA from Hylaeus anthracinus, 2329 nucleotides. RefSeq lists it as uncharacterized. The record is from RefSeq and is a predicted model, not a curated record. Lineage: Eukaryota; Metazoa; Arthropoda; Insecta; Hymenoptera; Colletidae. The transcript has 3 exons.
AGAGAAAGCGCUGAAAGAAACGGUGGAAGCCCCCGGCUAAAAAUCGAAGAGGACGCAUAUCGUUGGUCGUCGCGAGCAGAAAAGAGACGGGACCAGGGUUAUUGCUCAAAUGUUGGAGGAGCCAGCGUGUAUACGCGUCGGGUGCGUGAACCGCGGCAUAAAUUAAAUUAGCAUAAUGCCAAGCCACCGAACAACAAAGUAAAAAGCCGCAACAACGUGGGAACCGGCCGAAAACGGGCAUUAUCUUUCAAUUAUCUGGAAGUGUUUCACGGUGUUUCCUUGGGAUGGUAAUCCGCGAGAGAACUUCGAGGAAACAAGCCCGCAACGUUUAUGCGCGUGGCUGGGGAUGGUGGUCAUUAAAGGGGAUGGAACAAACGUUUGUGAUGAUUGUGGGACAGUAGAAUUUGGUCAUACUUCACUUGCGAGGUCUCUUUAAUUCGAUGGUAAAACAAAUCAUCUUAAAUAUGAUAGCAGUUUGAAUCUUGCAUCUCCUUAAAUUAUGUGGCAUCACAUUAUCAGUAGUUGAUACGUCAACGUAAUUAUUUUUAUAUUAUAUUAUAUAUUUAUAUUAUAUAAAGGAAUUGUCAUUCCUUUAGCUCUUGUAAGUGUACAAGGUAAUAUGUAAUUAAUCAACGUACUCAUCAUCUCGAGAACCGUAAUCGUAAUCACUCUUGUCGAGUAGAAGCCAUUCCAGAGACAUAGAAACUGUUUCCACGUCGAGUACAGUAUUUAAUCCCUCUGUUGGGGUACUUACACAUUCGCAAUUUCCACUUUCGAGCAUUAUGCAUAACUCCCGCGAGCUAAGUAUGUUAUUAUACGAGUGUGUUAUUAUGCGGAAAAGGAUUCAUUUCUGCGUGACGACACUCAAAUUUAUACUACCGCAGCGGGCAAAGCGAACUCACCGCAACGAAUAUCGUCUUCAGGGGUUGGGACGGGAAUUCAAGUGUGCAUGGAGACCACCGGCGUGCUCUUUGGGUCUUCUCAAUCGUUGUUUCCGAUGAAAAAACUCAACGAAAAUUAAUACGGCGCGUCGACCGUUCGACUAAAAUCGGCGAAUUAAAAUAUAUUUAAGAGUGGACCGUUCGAAGCAACAUUGGUGAAAAUAUUUACAUAUUCUUCUUUAAAGAUCGUUACCAGGGCGUGCCUUUGCAACAGUUAUUUAUGCUAUUGACACGUCAGCUUCUUGGAAUCCCGUACAAACUGAGUACAAUACGAGGGAGCAGUGCUCAAAGGCGUCGAAGAGUUAGAAACACGUAAGAGUUUAUGGAUAACCUGUUUCCACUUAUGAAAAUGUAAUUAAACCAAAGGGUUAUACCGUUUUAAGGGAGAGGAUGGAUUCUCCUACCUUUCGUUGCUCCACGAAAUCCGAAUUUACGUGACCGCAAGAGCUGAAAAGAAUACGUGCACCGCAAACGAGUAGAGUCCUGCCAGAUGGAUCGCGAUCCAGGCAGAAAUGCGAACCGGGACCACCAACGUGUAUGUUGAAGGAUUCCCUGAGAACGUUUCAUGCUAAUAAGACCGCGAGUCGCGCAAGACCAAACACCAGAUUUAUCUCUCGGCCCGAGUAGCCAGUCACUUUUCGUCCAUUCCAACUUGAUUACCGAAACCAGCUGGAUAGAGAAGGGUUGCGCAUCAGGUACAUCCAAUUUAAUUUACAUGAGAGUAGAUGACAAGUGAGUGGACACUCCAGACUGUGUUCGGUUUAUCCAGUAGGAAACAUACGUGUAAGAUGGUCUAGCUUGGUAUAUCUUUCAAUCAGGCACGAGACUGUUGCACUAACAAAAAGAAAAGCAAAGUAAUGAUAUACUGAUCACCUUAGACAAAUGGUAAGUUAAUUCGCCGACGAUUUCGCGACCGUGGAAUCGGGUUCACGGGACUCACGAUUACGAGUUUAAGGUAGCCGACACUCGAGUAGCGUCGGCGGCGGCAAGCUGGACUCCUCGUAAAAUUAUCGGUAAUAAAAUCGUGAUUUACGUCCAUGUUCCUGGAAAGCGGACCGCUCGAAAUCGUUCCGCUAUCCUGUCCGUUCCCCUGCCGCUUUUAUCUCUUCGUUCAUUCGUGGCCAGGAUGGCUGUGCGAGGACGACAUCGCCAGACACCGAAGACGCUUUGACCUUUCGCGUUCAUUUUCAGAAUAUCCGAAAGAAACGUGUUCAACCUCGUUGCCGCCCUCAAUGGCCUUCUGGCUUCAUUGUAAAGGCAGUUUACGAUCCCAACGUGGAUGGACGUGGGUGAGUGUGGGUGUGCGAGAGUCGCCGUGGGUGGACGUACCUUAGCCUACGAGGUGACAACCGAAUCGACAAACAGACCAGACCCAGUUGCUCUAUAAC